GAUGAAGAAUGCAGCGAAAUGCGAUACUUGGUGUGAAUUGCAGAAUCCCGUGAACCAUCGAGUCUUUGAACGCAAGUUGCGCCUCAAGCCAUUAGGUUGAGGGCACGUCUGCCUGGGCGUCACAUAUCGUUGCCUGAUGCCAGUUUCCUCGUGAUGGGUGACUGUGCAGGGCGAAUGAUGGCUUCCCGUGAGCAUUGUUGCCUCAUGGUUGGUUGAAAAUUGAGUCCUUGGUAGGGGGCGCCGUGAUAGAUGGUGGUUGAGUGACGAACGAGACCCAAUCAUGUGAGACCCCUACCGAAUUUGGCCUUCAUGACCCACAUGCGUCUUUGGAACGCUCAUGACGAGACCUCAGGUCAGGCGGGGCUACCCGCUGAGUUUAAGCAUAUCAAUAAGCGGAGGA
RNAcentral lists this unclassified non-coding RNA (400 nucleotides) under soil metagenome. Its description in RNAcentral is "partial contains 5.8S ribosomal RNA, internal transcribed spacer 2, and large subunit ribosomal RNA". The stretch from base 1 to 122 matches the Rfam family "5.8S ribosomal RNA", at positions 35 to 154 of the family's 154-position model. The record is from RNAcentral.